GUCAGGUAAGUAAAAAUGUAUGAACAAACUUCUAUGGACCCAUUUCUCAUGUCCACCUUGAAGUGUGGACUGGAAAGCCCACCCAUGAAACUAGAUUAAUUGUACUGACUGUAAUGGUCAGUUAUACCUACAUGUUGAUCCUAUGGUAAACAGACUGUCUGGGAGUAUCUUUUGAGAAAAAGCAUAUAAAAAAAAACCUAAACCAGCCAAUCAUGCUGGUCCUUAAAGAUUAAGACUAUAUUUACUUAUCUGGACAAGUGUCAGAAAGAUUAUUAAAAUAUAUUUUUCCUAUUCAGGCCAAUCAUUUACAUAAAAUAUUCACCAAUAUGUUAUUGCCCUAAUCAUUCUACAAUAGAAAUUAAUACCUUUUCUAAGUGGAUAGAUUAUGCAAAUAUCUUGCCAGUACCACAUAAGAUAUCUAGAAAUAGUGGACAUAUUUUAGACUGGUCUCCCAGAAUUGGUAACGAUGAUUAUGCAAGAAUGCCAUGACACAGGGAGGUUUAUUGGUAAUACCCUAACCCUCAGCAAGAUGGCAUCCAAAAGUGUGUUUUGAUAUUUGACUUCUACCUUCAGAAUAUUUAAUUACUGACAGACCUAAUAAACUCUUUAAAUGUGGGAAUUAAGAGGAAGAAUGAUGAAUAUCCUGUCUGUAAAAAUACGACUUAUCAUAUUGUAUCACUCGUUCUUGCCAGCUAGUAUUUCAGAGCUAUAAUGUGCUGAAAUUAAUGUUGAGUCUUUAAAACAGGUGCAUGCCAAUUAACCAUGAUCCUUGAAGUGACUACUUUAAAUAUUAUUCCUUGCUUCUACAAUUAUAGCCUUUGUGGCUAUGUCUUAAAACUUACAACAUAUGGAUUUUCUUAAUAGUUUGUCUUAAAUUAUUUCCAAGAUCCUUCAUAGUCAAAUAAGUGCUGAUUGAAGAGUUGGAACUAGGUUAAAAUGCUCUAAAAAGCCACUGUAAUAAAUAUUAUAUGUGAGCCCUCUGCUGUAGGGUUUGUAGAAAGGCUUAAAUGCCAUGCUAAAUAAAAAUGUCUAUGUUACUGUGGCUGAACAAAAUUCUUCCCAAUAAAAUUGGGAAAAGAUUAAGACUCUUCUAAUGAGUGUUUGGCAGAAUAAUAAUAAUAAUAACCCAAAUCUUCCAAAUUGAUUAUGUUAUUGAGAUAAUAUGUUUUCUACUAAUUCUUUUUGUGUUUUAAUACUAGAUAAUGAUGACCUCGGACCAAGAAUCCAGUGACUGAAAGAUAUAAUUCCCCAACUGCCUUUAAAUAUUAAGAAAGGGAAAAUUAUGUGGGAAGCCACACUGAGUUACCACACCUUCUAGUCCUAAUGCACCAUGGGGAUCUGAAAGAUCACUGAAGUCUGGCGUAGUAGUGCCAUGACUUGUGAGUCUUUUCCCUGGCUCGGAUAGCAAGGCCAGUCUUCUGAGUAGGCACACCCCUGGGGUUAAGCUACACCCACCUAUUUUUUUGUAAUACUACCCCUUUGCUCUGUUUGGGAUAGAAUGUUCCAUGGAAAUGCCCUUUGUGUGUCCCCUUCUCUUGCUCUACCUUUGGGUGUGGCCUUCCUGAUGUUAGUCGAUCUGCUGAUAGCAGACAUCAUGGAGCUAGACUCAACCUGCUGAAAUCUGACCCCUUGCCUCAUUUGAGUGGCUUCUCCCCAAUAAAAGGAUUCAACAUGCGCUCUCUCUCUUUCUUUUCAUGGACCCCUAAGGUCAGAGGAGCCAUCACAGGACCCAAAGAAAAAGGCAUCUCUGACUCUUGUAUGAUUAUUUCAUGCAGCCCAGGUCAACCUGGAGUGACCUUGAGUGUUUAGUCAUGGAACGCAACAUUACAUGACUUGGAGUCUCAGGGUAAAAUGGAGUUUGUUUGGUCAUUGCCCAGAUGGCCGGGCCCAUAAAAACUGAAACACUUGUAAAGGCUAUAAGACACAAUGAUGUCCUGGAAAAUCUCUGAGACAGAAUGCAACAUUGGGAAAGGCCCUGAACCCCAUUGGGAACCCAGUGAAUGUUAUGAAUUCCUGUGAGACCCUAUUGAAGGCUUUGAGCCACAGAGAAACACUCAGCUCUGCUAUGAUCCUGAGGACAGCCUGGAGCAUCUCCUAAAUUCUGUAUUUAGGAGAUAAUGUCACAUAAUGUCACUCUGGGGAAAGUCCUGUACUCAAUGAUACCCUAGGGAAAACCUUGAACUUCUAUGAGACUUGGAGAAGGCUCUGAGCCCCAGCAAAACUAUGUGGAAGACCCUGAGAACCACUGUGACCUGGGAAUGGUGCUAGGCUAGAGACCCACUGACACCCUGGGUAAAGCUUGGUGCCCCCAAUUGCCAUUGGGUGUGGGGCAACAUUUCUGACCUGCCAGAGAUUCUAGGAAUACCACUGCACCACACUGAAACGCUGGCCAAUUAACUGAGAUAAUCUGAGAUGUUGGGUAAGUACAUGAGUCCAAUGGAGACCCUUGGCAAGGCCAUGAACACUUGAGUACAUACAGGAUGUUCUGAGACACUGAGAAUGAUGAUGAGGCCCACUGGGGGCCUGGCUACAGCUAUGAGUCUACUAAGGCCUGGAGAAGACCCUAAGUCUGACAGUAACCCUGGGAAGGCUGUGAGCCCCACAGGAACAUUCACAAAGUAUCUAAGAUCCACUGAUGGCCUGGAGAAGCUCCAGGACACGCUGAGACACUGGGAAAGGCCCUAAACUCAAUUCAGACCCCCCCAAAAGGCCUGAAACCCACUGAGACUCUAGUGAAGGCCUUUAGCCUCACAGAAACACUGGAGACGAAAUCUACGCCCCAUUAAAAUCCUAUGGGCACUCCAAACCUCACUGAAAAUCUUGGGAAGAUGCUGAGCCCCAGUGAUGCCUAACUGAAGAUUCUGAUUCCCAGUGAAGACUGAGAGAAAGUCUCAAGCCCCAGUGAGACCUGACAGAAGGCCUUGAGCCCAACUGAGAACACAGGGAAAGUCCUGAGCAUCACUGUGACCCUGGAAAAUACCCUGAGUUCCAGUGAAAUCCUCAGAAAAGUGAUGAGUCCUACUGAUGUCCUUGAAAAGCUCUGAGACAAAAUGAGAUGCCAAGAAAGUCUCUGAACCACAUUUAGACUCCAGCUGAAGCCCUGAAUCCUACUAGAUUCUAAUGAAGGCCAUUCGUCCUACAGAAACACUGGGUAAUAUUCGAACCCAUAUUGAAAUUUUGUAGAAAGCCUGAAAUCCUACUAAAAUUCUGGAGACUGCCUUGAGCCAGUUCAUACCCUAGGAAGGCACAGAGCCCCACUGAAAACCUUGGAAAGGCCAAGAGCCCCACUGAUGGCCUGUGUCACAAGGGGGCAAAAUUGUGACGUAUGCAGCCGAGGGGAGAAAUAAAGAAUG
This 3353-nucleotide long non-coding RNA is filed under the name Marmota monax (woodchuck). Lineage: Eukaryota; Metazoa; Chordata; Mammalia; Rodentia; Sciuridae. The record is from RNAcentral.